RNA transcript from Octodon degus (degu), 1384 nucleotides. It is a transcript of the gene named 26S proteasome regulatory subunit 4 pseudogene, with no coding region annotated. NCBI's taxonomy places the organism in Eukaryota, Metazoa, Chordata, Mammalia, Rodentia, Octodontidae. The transcript has a single exon. The record is from RefSeq and is a predicted model, not a curated record.
AUGGGUCAAAGUCUGAGUGGUGGCCAUGGUCCUGGAGGUGGUAAGAAGGAUAAGGAUAAGAACAAUAAAUGUGAACCUCCUGUACCAACUAGAGUGGGGAAAAAGAAAACAAAAGGACCAGAUGCUGCCAGCAAACUGCCACUGGUGACACCUCACACUCAGUGCUGAUUAAAACUACUCAAGUUGGAGAGAAUUAUAGACUAUCUUCUCAUGGAGGAAGAAUUUAUUAGAAAUCAGGAACAAAUGAAACCAUUAGAAAAAAAGCAAGAGGAGGAAAGGUCAAAGGUAGAUGAUCUGAGGGGGACCCCAAUGUCAGUAGGAACCUUUGAAGAGAUCAUUGAUGACAAUCAUGCCAUCGUGUCUACAUCUGUGGGCUCAGAACACUAUGUCAGCAUCCUUUCAUUUGUGGACAAGGAUCUGCUGGAACCCGGCUGCUCAGUCCUACUCAACCACAAAGUGCAUGCUGUGAUUGGGGUGCUGAUGGAUGACACAGAUCCUCUGGUCACAGUGAUGAAGGUGGAGAAGCCCCCCCAGGAAACCUAUGCUGACAUUGGUGGGUUGGACAACCAAAUCCAGGAAAUAAAGGAAUCUGUGGAGCUUCCUUUCACCCAUCCUGAAUACUAUGAACAGAUGGGUAUAAAGCCCCCUAAGGGGGUCAUUCUCUAUGGUCCACCUGGCACAGGUAAAACCUUGUUAGCCAAAGCAGUAGCAAACCAAACUUCAGCCACUUUCUUGAGAGUGGUUGGCUCUGAACUUAUUCAGAAGUACCUGGGUGAUGGGCCCAAACUUGUACGGGAAUUAUUUUGAGUUGCUGAAGAACAUGCACCAUCCAUUGUGUUUAUUGAUGAAAUCGAUGCCAUUGGGACCAAAAGAUAUGAUUCAAACUCUGGAGGUGAGAGAGAAAUUCAGCGAACUAUGUUGGAACUGUUGAACCAGUUGGACGGAUUUGACUCACGGGGAGACGUGAAAGUUAUCAUGGCCACAAACCGAAUAGAAACUUUGGAUCCAGCGCUGAUUAGACCAGGGCGCAUCGACAGGAAGAUCGAGUUUCCCCUACCCGAUGAAAAGACCAAGAAGCGCAUCUUUCAGAUUCACACCAGCAGGAUGACACUGGCCAAUGAUGUAACCCUCAAUGACCUGAUCAUUGCAAAGGAUGAUCUCUCUGGUGCUGAUAUCAAGGCAAUCUGUACAGAAGCUGGUCUAAUGGCGUUGAGAGAACGCAGAAUGAAAGUAACAGGUGAAGACUUCAAGAAAUCUAAAGAAAAUGUUCUUUAUAAGAAACAGGAAGGUACCCCUGAGGGGCUGUAUCUCUAGUGAACCACAGCUGCCUUCAGGCAAGUGGUUGGGACUUUGCUCAACCCCUGGGAAGGAUGAGAUUUGGGAA